This 410-nucleotide transfer-messenger RNA is filed under the name bacterium. It matches the Rfam family "transfer-messenger RNA". Rfam says of the family: Bacterial tmRNA, also known as 10Sa RNA or SsrA, is named for its dual tRNA and mRNA-like properties. Its role is to liberate the mRNA from a stalled ribosome. To accomplish this part of the tmRNA is used as a reading frame that ends in a translation stop signal. The record is from RNAcentral.
GGGGAUGAUCGGCCUAGACAGGCGAUUCCCUCUUCUUGGUGCUAUGCCGAGAAUGCUCGAGAUCUCGUUAAAUCUCGAACCCAACCUAGUUGCAAAAAACAACCUCGUUGCAAAAGCAAAGGCUAUCGUAUCACCAUAUUUUGGUGCUAACGCCUUUGCUCCUGCUUACGCUUUCGUAGCCUAAACAGCACUCAGAUUCAGUACGCCCUCUAGGGAAUUCUGGGUGAUAUAAAAAGAGGGCUCAUCACUUUGAAUGACUCUACAAAGUGAAAAAACAUAGAGUAUCGGUAAUUUGUGAUUUAGAAUAAUUUAUACACAAACUACUUAAACCCAAAAUAAUUAUUCUACGCACAGUAGAUUCCACGAAGAACAUCAUCUGCACGGGGGUUCGAUUCCCCCCAUCUCCACAA